Molecule: ribosomal RNA, 682 nt
Filed under: Paenibacillus sp.
Lineage: Bacteria; Bacillati; Bacillota; Bacilli; Caryophanales; Paenibacillaceae
Description: bacterial SSU rRNA
Source: RNAcentral
UUAGCGGCGGACGGGUGAGUAACACGUAGGCAACCUGCCUGUAAGAUCGGGAUAACUACCGGAAACGGUAGCUAAGACCGGAUAAUCAGUUUGGUCGCAUGAUCGGACUGGGAAAAGCGGAGCAAUCUGCUGCUUACAGAUGGGCCUGCGGCGCAUUAGCUAGUUGGUGGGGUAACGGCUCACCAAGGCGACGAUGCGUAGCCGACCUGAGAGGGUGAACGGCCACACUGGGACUGAGACACGGCCCAGACUCCUACGGGAGGCAGCAGUAGGGAAUCUUCCGCAAUGGACGCAAGUCUGACGGAGCAACGCCGCGUGAGUGAUGAAGGUUUUCGGAUCGUAAAGCUCUGUUGCCAGGGAAGAACGCUUGGGAGAGUAACUGCUCUCAAGGUGACGGUACCUGAGAAGAAAGCCCCGGCUAACUACGUGCCAGCAGCCGCGGUAAUACGUAGGGGGCAAGCGUUGUCCGGAAUUAUUGGGCGUAAAGCGCGCGCAGGCGGCUUUGUAAGUCUGGUGUUUAAACCUAGGGCUCAACCCUGGGUCGSAUUGGAAACUGCAAGGCUUGAGUGCAGAAGAGGAGAGUGGAAUUCCACGUGUAGCGGUGAAAUGCGUAGAGAUGUGGAGGAACACCAGUGGCGAAGGCGACUCUCUGGGCUGUAACUGACGCUGAGGCCCGAAAGCA